UGGGGAAUAUUGCACAAUGGACGGAAGUUUGAUGCAGCGACGCCGCGUGGAGGGUGUAGGCCUUCGGGUUGUGAACUCCUUUUUCUCGCGAAAAAGGCACAGUUUUGGCUGUGUUGAUGGUAGUGGGGGAAGAAGCGCCGGCUAACUACGUGCCAGCAGCCGCGGUAAUACGUAGGGCGCGAGCGUUGUCCGGAUUUAUUGGGCGUAAAGAGCUCGUAGGUGGUUCGUCGCGUCUGUCGUGAAAGCCAGCAGCUUAACUGUUGGUCUGCGGUGGGUACGGGCGGGCUUGAGUGCGGUAGGGGUGACUGGAAUUCCUGGUGUAGCGGUGGAAUGCGCAGAUAUCAGGAGGAACACCGAUGGCGAAGGCAGGUCACUGGGCCGUUACUGACACAGAGGAGCGAAAGCGUGGGGAGCGAACAGG
RNAcentral lists this ribosomal RNA (421 nucleotides) under Fusobacteriota bacterium. Its description in RNAcentral is "Fusobacteria bacterium partial 16S ribosomal RNA". It matches the Rfam family "Bacterial small subunit ribosomal RNA", at positions 355 to 776 of the family's 1533-position model. The record is from RNAcentral. Lineage: Bacteria; Fusobacteriati; Fusobacteriota.